GUGCUCUUCCUAUUUGGAAAGUAGAAAUGGGACAUAUCAGAGUAGGUAUGGAGCCGGGUGACUAUUGGCAAAUUGAUUUUGUGGAAUUACCCAAGACACAGGGAUACCGAUACUUGUUAGUAGGGGUUGACACUUUUUCUGGAUGGCCAGAAGCCUCUCCCUGUCGCACCAAUCAGGCUAAGGAAACAGUGAAAUGGUUGUUGAAAGAACAUGGUGUUUGUGGAUAUCUCAAGGAUAGAGCCGAUCACUGCUGUGUGCAUAUACCAAACGUAACUGCAGAUAUAGAA
Molecule: long non-coding RNA, 287 nt
Organism: Strigops habroptila (Kakapo)
Lineage: Eukaryota; Metazoa; Chordata; Aves; Psittaciformes; Psittacidae
Exons: 3
Source: RefSeq, a predicted model, not a curated record